This 403-nucleotide ribosomal RNA is filed under the name Fusobacteriota bacterium. RNAcentral's name for it is "Fusobacteria bacterium partial 16S ribosomal RNA". It matches the Rfam family "Bacterial small subunit ribosomal RNA", at positions 355 to 776 of the family's 1533-position model. The record is from RNAcentral. Lineage: Bacteria; Fusobacteriati; Fusobacteriota.
UGGGGAAUUUUGCACAAUGGAGGAAACUCUGAUGCAGCGACGCCGCGUGAGUGAUGAAGAUCUUCGGAUUGUAAAACUCUGUCCUUAGUGAAGAUAAUGACAGUAACUAAGAAGCAAGCCCUGGCUAAAUACGUGCCAGUAGCCGCGGUAAUACGUAUGGGGCAAGCGUUGUCCGGAAUUAUUGGGCGUAAAGGGUACGUAGGCGGUUUAAUAAGUCCUAAUUAAAAGGCUAUGGCUCAACCAUAGUAUGGUUAGGAAACUGUUGAACUUGAGUAGAUGAGGGGAAAGUGGAAUUCCAUGUGUAGCGGUGAAAUGCGUAGAUAUAUGGAGGAACACCAAUGGCGAAGGCAACUUUCUGGAAUCAAACUGACGCUGAGGUACGAAGGCGUGGGGAGCAAACAGG